Molecule: ribosomal RNA, 420 nt
Filed under: uncultured bacterium
Lineage: Bacteria
Description: bacterial SSU rRNA
Rfam family: Bacterial small subunit ribosomal RNA
Source: RNAcentral
UAAGGAAUAUUGCUCAAUGGGAGAAAUCCUGAAGCAGCAACGCCGCGUGGAGGAUGAAGGGUCUAUGACUUGUAAACUCCUGUAAAGAAGGAAAAAAUUCCCAUUUGAUGGGAGAUGAUGGUACUUCUGGAGUAAGCCCCGGCUAACUACGUGCCAGCAGCCGCGGUAACACGUAGGGGGCAAGCGUUGUCCGGAUUUACUGGGUGUAAAGGGUGCUCAGGCGGAUUUGUAAGUCAGAGGUGAAAUCUUACAGCUUAACUGUGAAACUGCCUGUGAUACUGCAAGCCUAGAGUAUGGAAGAGAGUGAUGGAAUAUCUGGUGUAGCAGUGAAAUGCGUAGAUAUCAGAUAGAACACCAAUGGCGAAGGCAGUCACUUGGUCCAUUACUGACGCUAAAGCACGAAAGCGUGGGUAGCAAACA